CCUACGGGGGGCAGCAGUGGGGAAUAUUGGACAAUGGGCGAAAGCCUGAUCCAGCAACGCCGCGUGAGUGAUGACGGCCUUCGGGUUGUAAACUUCUUUCUUAAGGGACGAUAAUAACGCUACCUGAGGAGAAAGCCACGGCUAACUACGUGCCAGCACCCGCGGUAAUACGGAGGUGGCGAGCGUUUUCCGGAUUUACUGGGCGUAAAGGGGGCGUAGGGGGACAUUCAAGUGAGAUGUGAAAUACUCGGGCUCAACUUGCGAACUGCAUUUGAAACUGGAAGUCUAGAGUGCAGGAGAGGCGGAUGGAAUUCCUAGUGUAGCGGUGAAAUGCGUAGAGAUAAGGAAGAACACCAGUGGCGAAGGCGGUUCUCUGGACUGUAACUGACGGUGAGGCUCGAAAGCGUGGGGAGCAAACAGGAUUAGAUACCCGAGUAGUC
RNAcentral lists this ribosomal RNA (440 nucleotides) under uncultured bacterium. RNAcentral's name for it is "partial 16S ribosomal RNA". It matches the Rfam family "Bacterial small subunit ribosomal RNA", at positions 338 to 795 of the family's 1533-position model. The record is from RNAcentral.